ACACUGCUAAAAAAGAUAACAAAGGCCGAAGGUCCGGCCCGAACAGGACGGAGCUCUGCCUAGGCAUUGCUAUUCUCCCUUACCGCAAGAUAAACCCUAAACCCUUGUUCUUAAUAUUCCCCGUUCUGUUUCCAAUUUUAUGAGUUUAAAUGAAGCUGCAGAAGGUUUCAUUUUUCAUUUGAAAUGCAUCAAUUUGUGAGAAAUUUCAUCUUUGUAUGGCAUCUCACAGCUUUUUAUGGAGCUUUGGUAAGAAGGUCUUCACAUUCGGACUCAUAGGCCUUACUUUUUCAGAUCGUUAUGCUAGCAUUCUUCCGAUGACUAUGUUCUAGUUGAGAAAUUUUGUCUGGGAAAUUACAAGUUUUCACAUGGAGAUGUGAUUGUUUUUCGAUCACCUCGCAAUCACAAAGAGAAACAUGUGAAGAGAAUUAUUGGUUCGCCAGGUGACUGGGUUGCAACUCACAGUACUUAUGAUGUUGUGAAGGAUCCGGAUGGACAUUGUUGGGUCGAGGGAGACAAUCCUUCUUCUAGCAUGGAGUCAAGAACUUAUGGCCCACUAAGUUCUUCAAAGCAUCAUACUUAUGAAUAAUCUCAUGAUUAGGGUUGGAUUCGACUUAAGCCAACUUGGCUCAAAUUAGUGUUUAGUUUGAUUUGAGUUGGAACUUCAAUUCUGUAAUUCGGCUUGAGUUGGGCUUGAAUCUCCCUCCGGCAACACGAUUUAUUCUAUUGGCAACUAUGCAUCCAGUUGGAAACACUGUUUAUCCAUCAAUGGUAUUAUUCAUUUGACUGGCGACUAUCGACAACAUUUUCGGCCGAUUCUAAUUCAAACAGACUAUUUAGGAUUGGAACUGAAUGCGAGGUAGUUCAUAUUAGGGUUUGGUUUGGUUCGAAUUCAACCCUACUUAUGAUUAGAUCUCAGGAUUCUUAAGCAGAGUAUUUCAAUCCAACUUACUUGUUUAGAUCCUCCUGAUUUAUUAUUUACUGCUAUUUUUAAAAGUUUAUAGUCGCUAAUUGAUUCUCUUCAGCAAUUUUUUUUUUCUACUUAAGCGAGCUGUUCUUGGCAGAUUCCUUUGGGCCUAGUUCAACGAAGGAUCACCCAUAUCGUAUGGCCUCCUCAAAGACUAGGAGCAGUGAAGAGAAAUAUUUAUGCAGACAGACUUUCUUCUUUCUAAUCAGGUUAUGGUAGUUGAUACUUUUAGUAGCGAGAAUACAUAUUUUCCUUUAUAAUGCUUUACCAUUUGAUCAAGGCAACCAUUUUUUGGAGAUCCCUUGAGUUUUUGAAAGUUUUAGACUGUUCUUUGAUUUUGUUUAUUAAGCAAGAAUAAGAAAGAAGUAAUCUUUUGGGGACAGUAUUUGUACAUUAUUUAUAUUGUUAAUGGUCAAGUUAAUCAACUCAAUAAUGGAUUUUGAGUUCAAUAUAAUUGAUUUUAAUUCCUGGG
Molecule: RNA transcript, 1436 nt
Organism: Mangifera indica (mango)
Lineage: Eukaryota; Viridiplantae; Streptophyta; Magnoliopsida; Sapindales; Anacardiaceae
Gene name: mitochondrial inner membrane protease subunit 2-like
Exons: 4
Source: RefSeq, a predicted model, not a curated record